GAUGAACGCUGGCGGCGUGCCUAAUACAUGCCAGUCGAGCGAACAGACGAGGAGCUUGCUCCUCUGACGUUAGCGGCGGACGGGUGAGUAACACGUGGAUAACCUACCUAUAAGACUGGGAUAACUUCGGGAAACCGGAGCUAAUACCGGAUAAUAUAUUGAACCGCAUGGUUCAAUAGUGAAAGACGGUUUUGCUGUCACUUAUAGAUGGAUCCGCGCCGCAUUAGCUAGUUGGUAAGGGAACGGCUUACCAAGGCAAUGAUGCGUAGCCGACCUGAGGGGGUGGUCGGCCACACUGGAACUGAGACACGAUCCAGACUCCUACGGGAGGCAGCAGUAGGGAAUCUUCCGCAAUGGGCGAAAGCCUGACGGAGCAACGCCGCGUGAGUGAUGAAGGUCUUCGGAUCGUAAAACUCUGUUAUUAGGGAAGAACAAAUGUGUAAGUAACUAUGCACGUCUUGACGGUACCUAAUCAGAAAGCCACGGCUAACUACGUG
RNAcentral lists this ribosomal RNA (497 nucleotides) under uncultured bacterium. RNAcentral's name for it is "partial 16S ribosomal RNA". It matches the Rfam family "Bacterial small subunit ribosomal RNA", at positions 28 to 507 of the family's 1533-position model. The record is from RNAcentral.